Molecule: long non-coding RNA, 2881 nt
Organism: Oncorhynchus tshawytscha (Chinook salmon)
Lineage: Eukaryota; Metazoa; Chordata; Actinopteri; Salmoniformes; Salmonidae
Source: Ensembl
CACCUUAAAAGUCAUCUGCAAUCUGGAACGUGACUCCAACAAUUCAUUGACACAGUUGUGACUGAUAUCUCGUACAGUGGAAACACUUGAGUGUCUGCGUCAUCCGCAUCAGCAAUAACUCAUCACUCCUACUCCAGAAUGCCAAAGAGAAAGAGGGCCCCAACUUUUGAUGACAUUGCCUCAGUUGUUGAAAGGCUAGGCCUCUCACCAGAGGAAGUUACAGCAGCGAGCUACCAUCAGGAAAAUUGAUUAUUUUCUUUGAUAGACCUUUCCAGUUCAAUGACUAACACCUUCAGCUAUCGCCGUCAACUCUACGAUGCAUGGAGUAAGGGAAGGAUGGCCAAUGCACAACCCCACUCUGUCUCCCAGAUUGCACCAUCACCACCCCAGGUCCUCCAAUCACUACCACAACAAGUAUACACCACACGCCUGCUAACAUCAGCACAAGCAGCUGAAAUGAUUGAAACGGUUGAUCCCACUAAGGUAUCCCACCUUCCACCACUCCACCCCAAGCCUGGAGACAUUUUUCUGUUUGCAGGUAGUUCCUUGUCAUGUGAGGACUGGAAAGCGGACCAAAAAAGAUGGAUUCAGAAGGGAUCCCACAGCCUUCCUCGCCGUUCACCAAAACUAAGGGUGCGGUACUAUGCAGGAAAGGAAGCACCAGGGUUCCAAAAAAGGUAGUAUGAGUUGCUUCACCAGCCUGAUACUCCUGUGCUAAUUCACUACUUUGGUGAGCAGGCACACUCCAAUGUCCCCCACCCCCACGGCAACAGCCAACAGCAGCAAGCAAGGAAUUUCAUCCGAUCGGCUACCUCAAUCAUAGAUGAAAUGUCCCGGCGAAAGACUGAAACACCUGGCAAAGUAUACUCAGACAUGAGUAACAACCCACCACCACCCCCAAAUGCAUCAUUCAUGCCAGUUUAACAACCUCACAACUUGGCACAAGUAAAGAACACAAUUCGUCGAGCAAGGGACGUCACUGUUUUGGACCGGGACGAGUUGGUGGCAACACAUAUGAUGGGUGACAUUCUCCCCGGAUUUGUCACCCAUAUGGAGACUCGACCCGCAACCCUUCUGGUAGUGGCAGCACCAGAAAUGGUUGAAGAGGCCAAGACAGUUACUAAAAGCAAACACAAACGGGCACAUUUUUCACUAUGACACCACGUUUGACCUCGGCAAUUUUUAUGUUUCACCCCUUGUUUUCCGUCAUGUUGCGUUUCAAGAGGCACCUGUCCUUCCCCUGGCAUUCCUCAUUCACACCACCCGGCACAUGGAAAACCACAAACAGUUCUUUCGCACCAUCCUUUCAUUCCUUCCCCAACUAUCAACAGCAAUCUUCUGCACAGACCGUGAGGCGGCUAUUGAGGGAGCAAUCCAGUCUGUGCUGCCGCAAGCCAGGAUUGUCAAUUGCUGGAACCACAUCUCCAACAAUGUGAAGCACAAGAUGGGGUCAGAGGGUGCCCAAGCUGUGGCCGAUUACCAGCAAAGAGCUCUUGGCAACGAAAUCAAGGAGUGACUACGAAUGCACACUGGCGAGGGUGUGUCUUCACUGGAGCCCUGAUUUCAAGGCUUAUUUCCAUCAGUCGCUCUCUGAUGCCAUGGACAAGAGCGCACAAUACGUGCUCAACAGCUUGGGCAUCCAGUCAGAUGGAAUAACCAACAACUGCUCAGAGAGCUUCAAUGCUGUCCUCAAGGCAUUGGUUGGAUGGAAGACGGUCAGAGUAGAUCAAUUGGUUUAUCUACUCUACCAACUCCAAACCAAUGCCUUGAGGGAGGUGCUGCGGGGCUACUGUAAUCUAGGGCAUUUCCACCUGAGUGCCAUGAGCAAUUUUCCAGGCGAAUGCCCACCACCAGUUUCCCCUACCACAUGUCAGAGGAAGACAUGGUGUCUUUUGCUGAAGGCAUCCAGUCCUGUGUGGCACAAGAAGAGGUUGUCAUGGCAGAAACUGGAGCGGAGGCCUCAGCCAGGAUGAUUGUGGCAAAAGGACGGAUCCUCCUGGUGCCAAGCACCAAAUCGUUCCUCUGUUGCCAACGGAGACGUGCUCCUGCUCUGCAUCUGACAGUGCCCAGAGGUGUGUCCACCGACUGGCAGCUGUACUGGCCAAUGGCGGAAGUGUGGACAGUCCUAUGCCAAUAAAGCUGAGGACAAGGCAUCUGGCUGCAAAACGCUCUGGCCAUAAGUGUGCCACCAAGGAGCAUGUCCAGACGGGCACCAAACAACAGGAAGAGCAAUCGACCGUUCAUCAACAGGGUGACCAAUUCCAACUGUCUCUGUCUGAGAAACACCCCAGCAGGGAUGACUAAUUGGAGAAUAGAGUGAAGCAACUGUGGGCAAUGUCGUCGGAUGGAAUGGACAGGGCAACCGCACAAUUUUUUUAGGAGGAAUCCGUUGCCAUCCUGCACCUCCAUGACUCUCCUUACAUUGAAGCUCAAUGAGUGGCUUAGUGGUGAGGUAAUUGACUUCUACCUCCAACUGAAGAGGGUUGACCUUCAAGUGGAGAGGGAUGUUUUUAUUGUGGAUCACUUUGUGGCAGGGAUUAUCCUGCAUGGGGAUAAGGUGGCGCUGCGCAAGAACACCUUGUCAAAGACCAAUCUGGAGCAGCACAGUUGCUUGAUUGGCGUUUGCAACGUGGGAAACUACCACUGGAUACUCUUGUAUGUCAAACGCAGGACACACUCUGCCAUUGUCCUGGACCCUACUGGUUCCCCUAACACAGAGCCAUAUGAGCGAGAACCUGGUGAAGCACAUCAGAUACUGGUUUGAUGAACGAACCCGCAGAACUGGGACAAUGUUUUCAGCAAUGUUCCCUGGCAGGCGGCGACAAUACCGCACACCAAGCAAAUCGACGGCUACAAUUGUGGAGUUUAUGUGCUGCUGGUG